Molecule: long non-coding RNA, 11545 nt
Filed under: Salvia miltiorrhiza (redroot sage)
Lineage: Eukaryota; Viridiplantae; Streptophyta; Magnoliopsida; Lamiales; Lamiaceae
Description: long non-coding RNA (SMIL_LNC006438)
Source: RNAcentral
AAAAAUCACUCUUUAUAGUUCCACAACUUUUUUCUUCGUCUUUGCCCCAAUCACACUCCAAUCAUUUAUUUUUCAUAUGAGGGAAAUGUAGGAUUGUGUGGAUUUCCUUUGACAAGAAAAUGCAAUGUGGAGAAUGGGCAGUGGCUGCAGCCAGAAGAAGAAGAUGAUGAUGAAGAGUAUGGAUUUAUAGAUGGAUUUGGAUGGAGAAGUGUGGUGAUGGGAUAUGGAAGUGGAUUCAUAGUUGGAAUAGGAAUUGGUUACAUUAUAAUUAGAAAUGGAAGGCCAAGAUGGUUAGUGGAAUUCUUUUUCGGCAUUGGAUUUAGUAAUUUAUAAGAUGAAGAAGAGACGCAGCAGAGCUACACCAACACCAACACGCAGGAGAACUCAUUUGGAACUUAGUGUGUUUUGCUCGAAUUCAACUUUAGAGUUUAUGAAAUGUUGUUGUAUAUUCGAAUCUGUUAAGUUCUAAUUUUAUCUUGUUUAGGUCAUUGUUUAGAUUUAUUUUAACAGUUUUGUGAUUUUUUUGUUUUUUGUUUUUUUUGUUUUGAGGGGCACUUUUGUGAUUUUUUUGAUUUUCCACACUAAUAAUUUUACUCGAGCAAAAAUGCUACGUGUGAGGACAAAGAAUUAUGAUUUGCACAGACAAGUUGAAAAGGUUAAGUUUAAAUUGAUUAUAUAAGCUUCCUUCGUUAGUAGGCUAAAAGUGCAUAGUUUCAUUAUGCAAUUGACUUGACUUAAACUAAGCAAGAAAAUCUAUUCUUUUUCAUGCUAUGUUUGAUUUUGCAUAGAAAAUUAAUUCUAGUAUACCUCUAUUCUUUUUCAUGCUAUGUUUGACUUGACAUAGAGACGUAUACUAGAAUUAAUUUGCGUAUUUAAUGGUUUGAUCUUGAUAUUGUCACAUUAACUUUUUUAGAGAUAACUGAUUGAAAGGGAAAUUUAAUUGAUAAUUUCCAAGUGCGGCCCAUGCCUUACACGGCGGGAAUAGAAUGGACUUUGAUUCAAGCAGAAGACUAAAUGUGCAUCACAUAUUAUGGAAUUAAUUUCUACGCAAAAUCAAGCAUCCAUAGCAUUUAAAAAAAUAAAAAGUUUUGCUUAGUGUGAGACGACAUUAAACUUAAGAAUCCUUGAUCAUUUAAUUUAGAUUUUUCGACGAGAAAGCUUUAGCUGAAUAAAUGAUCCAAUACUCAUAGUCGUAGCAAGAGAUAAUCCCAAUAUUGUUUAAAAUUCAUUUUUAUCAUGUUGAUAUAUGUAUAACAUUUACACUCUUUAAGAUGAAUUUCUCUUCCAUUUCAUUAAUAUAACGAUUGUAUUAUAAUUUUGGUAAAAGAAUAUAUAUUUUUUUUCUUUCAAAAAAGGAUCGAGAACGGUUCUCCAUUUUCAAAUUCCCCACCCAUUGGUUAAAAUUAUCCCCGACCUACAAGAAGUUGAUUGUGAAUCCACUACAAAAAAACAGUAGAAUUGCGACAGAAUUAACGACGGAUUAACGACGACAUAUAUUUUCGACAAUUAACGAUGGAACUUACAUCGAAUUUACUACGAAAAAAUUUUAUCGACGGAAUUUCCGUCCUAAGUAUUUGCUACUGAAUUGUUCUGUAGUUAAAAGUAAGGAAUAUUUAAUUAUUUAAAUAAUUAAAUAUUAACUAUGGAAUAUUUCCAUAGUUAAAAAUAAUGAAUAUUAAUUAUUUAUAUAAUUUAUAUCAGUCUGUGCAACAAUGAAUAUUAAUUAUUUAUAUAAUUUAUGUAUAAAAUCUUUUUUUCUUGUUUCUCUAUAUUUGAGUGAGAACUCUCUUCAUUGUCCUAUCCUAUAACGAAUUGGAUUUGAACCUUAGACCUAACGGUGUUAUAUUAUACUCCCUCCGUCCACGAUAUGUUUGGUCUUUUUGUCAUUUUCGUUCACCACAAUAAGUAUGGUUUUUUCAUUUUACUCUCAUUCAUACACAAUAUUUAUAAAAACCCAUCCCACACCAUUUAUUAAUUAACUAACAAUUCAACUUUAAUGGGACUCUUUUUUUCUACUUUAUACACAUCUUUCAAUAUUUUUUUAAAACUUGCGCCCCUUCCACACCACACUUAUUAUCGUGGAAGGAGCGAGUAAUAGAUUAACUCAAUUAAAUAUCUUGCAUAUUUGGACUGUUGCACAGACUAGUCAAAACGGAAGCUUCUUCCAUUUUGCAUUAGUGGGGCCUUAAAAAUGUGGCUAUUUUUUUAUUUAGUUUCAUUCUGCAAUUGGGUUGACUUGUAAAUCGUCUUUGUCGCUUUUGCCUCCAAAAUUCUACCUUCACCACAAUUAUUCACACUCCCAUUUAUAAACUGGGCGUUGCUUAUAAGAUAAUGGAAAAAUAAGUUGGGGUAGAUGAACUUAUUUUUUGAGGAGCUUAUAAGCUCUUGGAGCUUAUUUUUAUAGCUUAUAAGCUGGUUAGGAGCUUAUUUUGCAAACACUUUGAAGGAGCUAUAACUUCUAAACAACUUAUAAGUAUUUUAAGAGCUUAUAAGUCUGAGUGUAUUAAUGUGUUUGGUACAACAUUAGAGGGUGUUUGGCUGACUUAUAAGUUUGAAAGCUUAUAAGUUUUCAAAGUUUUGGAAAAUAAGCUCUUAAAGAGCUUAUAAGCUCCAAAAAUAAGCUCUAAGAGCUUAUAAGCUCUCAAAAAAAUAAGUUCCUCUAUCCAACUUAUUUUCUCAUUAUCUUAUAAGUAACACUCAUUUUAUAAAAAUAAUUCAACUAUAAUUUUUUAUUUUCAUUAUAUAUCAUUUUAAUUUCAUUUUUCUUCGAUUUUCUCUUUCUAAAUUUUUUUUUCUCUCACUAAUUAAAAAUUCUCUCUUUAGCUUAUAAGCUAAAUUACCCAAACACUUUGACAACUUAUAAGCUACUAAUAAACUACAUCUUAUAAGCUCUUGAAACAUCUUAUAAGCUCUUUAAAAUAAGCUUAGCCAAACACAAAUCAUGGCAUUAACUUUUCCCAUUUGCCACAACUACCUUAUAGUGACUUAAUUCAUUUCCCUAAUUUCGAAUAUCAUUUGAAACUUUCAGACAAAAUAACUGUUGCUCGAAAUGAUAGCUUCUUUCAUUUUCCAUUAAUGGGACCAACAAAAUGUGGCCAUAUAAAUGGCAUGAGAUAGGCUUCUUGUCUGCGCACACAACUACAAUUAGCACUCUGCAUUUGCGAUAUGGAGAGAGUUUCUUCCCAUUUUCUCGUGCUUGCACUACUCUUACAAUCCAUUAUUUGAUGGAUUAUAGCUCAGCCAAAAACGAUAUCAACACCGAUCGUUCUUCACUUCUUGCCUUGAAAUCUCAAAUCACUUUAGAUCCUCAAAAUAUAUUGACCCAAAAUUGGAGCACUGAAGCCAGUGUUUGUAGUUGGAUCGGAGUUACUUGUGAUUCACAUUACAAUAGGGUGACUCAGUUGAAUAUAUCGGACAUGGGUCUUGUGGGAACCCUCCCCAGAAAUGGGAUCUUUCUUCUCUCGUUUCUUUAGGGAACGGAACUCCUUUCAUGGCCCCAUUCCCCCAUCUAUCUUCAACAUGUCAUUUCUAGAAGUUUUGGUUCUAAGUAAUAAUAGUUUGUCUAGUAGUUUACCUCUUGAUAUGUAGCAAACACAAAUCUGCAUAGACUCAAGAGGCUUCGUUUGUCUUCAACGAGUUGUAUGGGGAAAUACCAUCGAGUUUGGGGCGUGUUCACAGCUUGAGUUCUUCUUGACAACAUUUCACUGGAUUUGUGCCAGAGAAUUGGGAACUUGACGAAGCUUCAAAUUCCUUGUGAAAUAGUUACGGUAAGUUGAUUAUGCCUAUAUUUAUGAGGUCAAAUCAUGCAUUUAAUGCCAUAUUAUUUAAUUCUUUGAUUUAUGUGCUUUGCGUUUAAGGGUCAAAUUUAAACUUUAUAUCGGGUGAUAAGUAAUAUUUUCCCUAUACGUUUCAAUCUAGAAUUAGCUAGACUAACUUUAUAUUGAUCUUUGUCUUCCGUUGAUUAGUGGAAUAAAUAUCAUUAUACUUAAAAUAGUAUACAGCUCAAUCUCCCAACCGAUCAAAUCGCGUAUUUUAUUUAUUAUUGUUAUGAUCGUUAUACUUAACAAUAUGGAACUUGACUUUGAUGACUUCAUUAUUCUCCAGGUACUAUUCCGAAAGAAAUUGGAAAUCUUCAUAAUUUGCAGGACAUGCAGUUGGGUUCCAACGAACUUAGCGGAUCAAUCCCAAGAGAAGUGGGGAACAUGACAGCUCUUUCUGACUUAUGGCUCGACAAUAAUAGUUUAAGUGGUACGAUUUAUUAUUCACCUAGCCACAAGUUUAGCUCCUCGAGCUAGCUUACGAGUUAAUUUCUUUUUCUCUUAUUUCAUUUGAUUUUCUUUAAUUAAGAGGUAUGUUGUCUUGAAGUUGGUAGGGGUCAUACAUUGUCUUUUUGUGAUGAUUUGGAUAUAUAUUUGUAGGAGUUAUUCCACAAGAGAUACAUCAUCUUCAUAAUUUACGAAAGUUGAACUUGAGUUCGAACAAGUUGUCAGGCACUUUGCCACCAACCAUUUUCAACAGGUCUUCCUUGACAAUGAUUGAAUUAUCAAGUAACACAUUUAGCGGGGCAUUGCCUUCAGAAAUCGGGAACAUGGAAGCACUACAGUUUUUGUACCUUCAAAACAAUGCUUUAACAGGUAAGAUUUCUAAUACUUGUGUAGUUUUACACGUAUUCAAAUGUUUCUUAAUUUUCAUGUAUGUAUAGCAUUUACAACUAUUGUGAGACCUUUAACUUCUUCUCAUAUCUAUAUUUGACUUUUCCAUAUAGCAUUUACAGCUAUGUUUCUGAAAUCUAUAUUGUUCCUUGUCUUCCAUUGAUUAGUGGAAUAAAUAUCAUUAUAGUUAAAUAGUAUACAGCUCAAAAUUUCCCAUCCGAUCAAAUCAUGUGUUUUUACCUAUUAUUGUUAUGAUCGUUAUACUUUACAAUAUGGAACUUGACUUUGAUGACUUCAUUAUUCUCCAGGUACUAGCUCCUCAAGCUAACUUACGAGUUAAUUUCUUUUUCUCUUAUUUCAUUUGAUCUUCUUUAAUUAAGAGGUAUGUUGUCUUGAAGUUGGUAGGGGUCAUACAUUGUCUUGUGGGAUUAUUCUCCAGGUACUAUUCCGAAAGAGAUUGGAAAUCUUCAUAGUUUAGAGAGCAUGCAGUUGGAUUCUUUGAUGCCAUAUUAUUUAAUUCUUUGAUUUAUGUGCUUUGCGUUUGAGGGUCAAAUUUAAACUUUAUAUCGGGUGAUAAAGUAAUAUUUUCCCUAUACGUUUCAAUCUAGAAUUAGCUAGACUAACUUUAUAUUGAUCUUUGUCUUCCGUUGAUUAGUGGAAUAAAUAUCAUUAUACUUAAAAUAGUAUACAGCUCAAUCUCCCAACCGAUCAAAUCGCGUAUUUUAUUUAUUAUUGUUAUGAUCGUUAUACUUAACAAUAUGGAACUUGACUUUGAUGAAUUCAUUAUUCUCCAGGUACUAUUCCGAAAGAGAUUGGAAAUCUUCAUAAUUUGCAGGUCAUGUGGUUGUAUUCCAACGAACUUAGCGGAUCAAUCCCAAGAGAAGUGGGGAACAUGACAGCUCUUCUCAGCUUAUACCUCCACAAUAAUAGUUUAAGUGGUAUGAUUUAUUAUCACCUAGCCACAAGUUUAGCUCCUCAAGCUAGCUUACGAGUUAAUUCUUUUUCUCUUAUUUCAUUUGAUCUUCUUUAAUUAAGAGGUAUGUUGUCUUGAAGUUGGUAGGGGUCAUACAUUGUCUUGUGGGAUUAUUCUCCAGGUACUAUUCCGAAAGAGAUUGGAAAUCUUCAUAAUUUGCAGGACAUGUGGUUGGGUUCCAACGAACUUAGCGGAUCAAUCCCAAGAGAAGUGGGGAACAUGACAGCUUUGGUCAGAUUAAACCUCGGCAAUAAUAGUCUAAGUGGUAUGAUUUAUUAUCACCUAGCCACAAGUUUAGCUCCUCAAGCUAACUUACGAGUUAAUUUCUUUUUCUCUUAUUUUAAUUUUAUCUUCUUUAAUUAUACUAUGUUUAAAAAGAAUGCAAUACAUCUAUACUAAUAUAAAAAGAGCUUUGGACACAACACACAACAUGUGGAUUGUCUCUAUUUUACACUUAUUACAUGUUUUAUUUAAAGUUAUUUUACAUAUUAUAUAUUUAUAAAAAUAUAUUAAUUCAUCAGAUAUUAUACUAAAACUAUGUGAUAUAUAUCUAUAGUUGUUGAUAAGGCUUAUAAAUAAAUAUAUCUAUCAAAUAAAUUAUUCUCGUUAAUUCACGUGCCCAAAAGUUUUGAGCCACUUAUAGUGGGACGGAGGGAGUAUUUAGUAGAAGUAGUAAACUAAUAGAUUUUCUAUAAAAAAAAUUAUUGUAUGACUAAACAGACCAAAUUGUUAAUUGAAAAAUUAAAUAUAAUAAAUAUUAUAUUUAUAUUUUUUAUUUUAUCAAAUAAAAUAAUAUUAAUUAUGCGUAGAACGUACGCUCUUUCUCCUAGUUCCUUAUAAUUGUUAAGUAAGAUGUUAAACCUUAUGUAAACCAAAUGUUUUGUGCAUUUUUAGAUAUAAAGAAAUUUGAUUCAUGUCCUUCUGUCUUUCAAGUAAUAAAUUUGAAGGUCUCGUACUAACUUUCAGGACAAAUACCAUCUACCAUUGUGAAUAUUCUAUCAUUGGGUGUUCUACAACUCUCUUCCAACAAAUUAAUCGGUGAGCUUCCAUCCUCCAUCUGUAACUUGACAUCUCUUCAUGCUCUUCUUCUCUCAAGUAACACUUUGGAAGGAACAAUUCCAUAAUGCUUUGGAAACUUGAGCUCUCUGUCAUUUUUCAUUUAAAUAAAAAUCAGUUUCGUGGUCUCAUUCCAGCAACAUUUAGCAAGGGGUGUAGUCUUGAAUCCAUCAAUUUGAAUGGUAACAAAUUAAAAAGAUUGGAUUUUUUGGCACCCAAAAAAUAUUCUGUCACAUGUCAACUUCUAGUAAAAUAUUAUUUUACAAUAUUAUUAUAAUACAAUCUGUGUAUUAAUGGAUGGAAGAUAAAUUCAACUUAUAUAGUGUAAAUGUUACAAAAUUAAAAAUUCUCUGGUGCAUUGUGAUGGAGAGUGUGGGAAAAACUGAUAGUGCGCGGGAGGUGUUUGAUAAAAUGUGUGACAAGAAUAUUGAGGUUUCUGGAGCAUGCAAAGAAAGAAACAUGUCUAACAUAUUUUGUGAAAGGGAAUCAAAAUGCUUCUCUACACUUCCACAUAUUUGGAUAUUGCUUUGGGAUGAUUUGAUGAGGUGUUUGUUAAAGGUAUGCCAAAUAAAAUGAAAACUAAUGUCGUCUCAAACUAAGCAAGAAAUCUUUUCUUUUUCAUGCUAUAAUCGAAUGUGGUAAAGACAAAUUAAGCUCUUUCAAAGUGUUUGGUAAAAUAAGCUCUUAAAAAGCUUAUAACCUCCAAAAAUAAGCUCUAAGAGCUUAUAAGCUCCCAAAAAAAUAAGUUCAUCUAUUCCAACUUAUUUUCUCAUUAUCUUAUAGGCAACACUCAUUUUAUAAAAUAAUUCAACUAUAAUUUUUUAUUUUCAUUAUAUAUCAUUUUAAUUUCAUUUUUCUUCGAUUUUCUUUUUCUAAUUUUUUUUUCUCUCACUAAUUAAAAAUUCUCUCUUUAGCUUAUAAACUAAAUUAUCCAAACACUUUGACAACUUAUAAGCUACUAAUAAACUACAUCUUAUAAGUUCUUGAAACAUCUUAUAAGCUCUUUAAAAUAAGCUUAGCCAAACACAAAUCAUGGCAUUAACUUUUCCCAUUUGCCACAACUACCUUAUAGUGACUUAAUUCAUUUCCCUAAUUUCGAAUAUCAUUUGAAACUUUCAGACAAAAUAACUGUUGCUCGAAAUGAUAGCUUCUUUCAUUUUCCAUUAAUGGGACCAACAAAAUGUGGCCAUAUAAAUGGCAUGAGCUAGGCUUCUUGUCUGCGCACACAACUACAAUUAGCACUCUGCAUUUGCGAUAUGGAGAGAGUUUCUUCCUAUUUUCUCGUGCUUGCACGACUCUUACCAAUCCAUUAUUUGAUGGAUUAUAGCUCAGCCAAAAACGAUAUCAACACCGAUCGUUCUUCACUUCUUGCCUUGAAAUCUCAAAUCACUUUAGAUCCUCAAAAUAUAUUGACCCAAAAUUGGAGCACUGAAGCCAGUGUUUGUAGUUGGAUCGGAGUUACUUGUGAUUCACAUUACAAUAGGGUGACUCAGUUGAAUAUAUCGGACAUGGGUCUUGUGGGAACCCUCCCACCAGAAAUUGGGAAUCUUUCUUCUCUCGUUUCUUUAGACGUGAGCGAGAACUCCUUUCAUGGCCCCAUUCCCCCAUCUAUCUUCAACAUGUCAUUUCUAGAAGUUUUGGAAGUAAGGAAUAAUAGUUUGUCUAGUAGUUUUCUUUUUCUAUCUUUAUUAUUCACCUAGCCACAAGUUUAGCUCCUCAAGCUAACUUACGAGUUAAUUUCUUUUUCUCUUAUUUCAUUUGAUCUUCUUUAAUUAAGAGGUAUGUUGUCUUGAAGUUGGUAGGGGUCAUACAUUGUCUUGUGGGAUUAUUCUGCAGGUACUAUUCCGAAAGAGAUUGGAAAUCUUCAUAAUUUGCACGAAUUGUGGUUGCAUUCCAACGAACUUAGCGGAUCAAUCCCAAGAGAAGUGGGGAACAUGACAGCUCUGGUCAUCUUAUACCUCGACAUUAAUAGUUUAAGUGGUAUGAUUUAUUAUUCACCUAGCCACAAGUUUAGCUCCUCAAGCUAGCUUACGAGUUAAUUUCUUUUUCUCUUAUUUCAUUUUAUCUUCUUUAAUUAUACUAUGUUUAAAAAGAAUGCAAUACAUCUAUACUAAUAUAAAAAGAGGUUUGGACACAACACACAACAUGUGGAUUGUCUCUAUUUUACACUUAUUACAUGUUUUAUCUUAAAGUUAUUUUACAUAUUAUAUAUUUAUAAAAAUAUAUUAAUUCAUCAGAUAUUAUACUAAAACUAUAUGAUAUAUAUCUAUAUUUGUUGAUAAGGCUUAUAAAUAAAUAUAUCUAUCAAAUAAAUUAUUCUCCUUAAUUCACGUGCCCAAAAGUUUUGAGCCACUUAUAGUGGGACGGAGAGAGUAUUUAGUAGAAGUAAUAAACUAAUAGAUUUUCUAAAAAAAAUUAUUGUAUGACUAAAUAGACCAAAUUGUUAAUUGAAAAAUUAAAUAUAAUAAAUAUUAUAUUUAUAUUUUUUAUUUUAUCAAAUAAAAUAACAUUAAUUAUGCGUAGAACGUACGCUCUUUCUCCGAGUUCCUUAUAAUUGUUUUUUUUUUUAAAUAUAGUUCCUUAUAAUUGUGAAGUAAGAUGUUAAACCUUAUGUAAACCAAAUGUUUUGUGCAUUUUUAGAUAUAAAGAAAUUUGAUUCAUGUCCUUUUGUCUUUCAAGUAAUAAAUUUGAAGGUCUCGUACUAACUUUAUUAUUCACCUAGCCACAAGUUUAGCUCCUCAAGCUAACUUACGAGUUAAUUUCUUUUUCUCUUAUUUCAUUUGAUCUUCUUUAAUUAAGAGGUAUGUUGUCUUGAAGUUGGUAGGGGUCAUACAUUGUCUUGUGGGAUUAUUCUGCAGGUACUAUUCCGAAAGAGAUUGGAAAUCUUCAUAAUUUGCAGUACAUGCUGUUGCAUUCCAACGAACUUAGCGGAUCAAUCCCAAGAGAAGUGGGGAACAUGACAGCUUUGGUCAUAUUAUACCUCGCCAGUAAUAGUUUAAGUGGUAUGAUUUAUUAUUCACCUAGCCACAAGUUUUGCUCCUCAAGCUAGCUUACGAGUUAAUUUCUUUUUCUCUUAUUUCAUUUUAUCUUCUUUAAUUAUACUAUGUUUAAAAAGAAUGCAAUACAUCUAUACUAAUAUAAAAAGAGGUUUGGACACAACACACAACAUGUGGAUUGUCUCUAUUUUACACUUAUUACAUGUUUUAUCUUAAAGUUAUUUUACAUAUUAUAUAUUUAUAAAAAUAUAUUAAUUCAUCAGAUAUUAUACUAAAACUAUAUGAUAUAUAUCUAUAGUUGUUGAUAAGGCUUAUAAAUAAAUAUAUCUAUCAAAUAAAUUAUUCUCCUUAAUUCACGUGCCCAAAAGUUUUGAGCCACUAAUAGUGGGACGGAGAGAGUAUUUAGUAGAAGUAAUAAACUAAUAGAUUUUCUAAAAAAAAUUAUUGUAUGACUAAAUAGACCAAAUUGUUAAUUGAAAAAUUAAAUAUAAUAAAUAUUAUAUUUAUAUUUUUUAUUUUAUCAAAUAAAAUAACAUUAAUUAUGCGUAGAACGUACGCUCUUUCUCCUAGUUCCUUAUAAUUGUUUUUUUUUUUUUAAAUAUAGUUCCUUAUAAUUGUGAAGUAAGAUGUUAAACCUUAUGUAAACCAAAUGUUUUGUGCAUUUUUAGAUAUAAAGAAAUUUGAUUCAUGUCCUUUUGUCUUUCAAGUAAUAAAUUUGAAGGUCUCGUACUAACUUUCAGGUCAAAUACCAUCUACCAUUGGGAAUAUUCUAUCAUUGAUUGCUCUAGAACUCUCUUCCACCAAAUUAAUCGGUGAGCUUCCAUCCUCCAUCUGUAACUUGACAUCCCUUGAGUAUCUUCAUCUCUCAAAUAACACUUUGGAAGGAACAAUUCCACAAUGCUUUGGAAACUUGAGCUCUCUGGUAAUCUUUCAUUUAAAUAAAAAUCAGUUUCGAGGUCUCAUUCCAGCAACAUUUAGCAAGGGGUGUAGUCUUGAAUCCAUCAAUUUGAAUGGUAACAAAUUGCAAGGACCAUUACCUAAAUCCUUGAUCAAUUGCGGAAGUCUACGAGGCCUCGAUGUUGGAAACAAUAGAAUACAAGCCGAAUUUCCCUUUUGGAUGGAAGUCCUUCCAGACCUUCGAGUGCUUGUCUUGAGGUCUAACAAGUUUUAUGGUAACAUGUCACUUCCUUCGCCAACCAAGAUUCCAUUUCAUAAUUUGCAAGUUUUAGAUAUAUCUCAGAAUAGAUUUGUGGGUUCUCUGCCUCAAAGAUAUUUCAAGAAUUUCAGAUCAAUGAUAGAGGUAAAUGAAACAAACUUGUCAUAUUACGACGCCUUUCAUUCUUAUCUGGAGAUGAGGCUCACCUUGAAAGGGCUGGAUCAAUCAUUAGAGAGAUUGUUGUCAGCCUUUACAGCAAUUGACUUAUCCUCCAAUAGGUUUUCUGGGAGUAUUCCAAAUUCCAUAGGAAAUCUUAAGAUUCUCAAAUACUUGAAUUUAUCCCACAAUAACCUCAUAGGUAAUAUACCUUCAUCUCUUGGAAAUAUGAGUGAACUUGAAUCCUUGGACUUAUCCGUGAACAAGUUGGAUGGAGAAAUUCCAAAUGAAUUGACAAGGUUGACAUUUCUUUCAACACUAAACCUUUCAAUGAAUAAUCUAGUUGGACAAAUACCACAAUCUACUCAAUUUUCCACAUUUGAGAAUGAUUCAAUUUGAGAUUGUGUGGAGUUCCGAUGACGAGAAAAUGCAACAAGGAGAAUGGACAUCGGAUGCAGCCAGAAGAAGAAGAUGGCGAAGAUGAUGAGUAUGGAUUUAUAGAUGGAUUUGGAUGGAGAAGUGUGGUGAUGGGAUAUGGAAGUGGAUUCAUAGUUGG